Molecule: long non-coding RNA, 423 nt
Filed under: Gallus gallus (chicken)
Lineage: Eukaryota; Metazoa; Chordata; Aves; Galliformes; Phasianidae
Description: long non-coding RNA NONGGAT006511
Source: RNAcentral
UACAGAAAGAGACACAGAAUCUCAGUAGAUUGGACUUUUAUCUUCUACAAACCUAAGUCAGUAAGAAGAAAUUCUUCUCAGAAUGUAGCUGAUACACACACAAACAUGACAGAUGAAUUCACCUUCAAGAGUUAGGCUUAGGCUCUGGAAUUGCACUCCAGUGAGCAGACAGCAGCAAAAUGGAAAAAAACAACCAAACCUUUCCUCAACAAACCUCAGACUGCAAGACAUGAACUGCCAGUGAUUUGCAGAAAACUUUCUAGCAGACUCUGCCAUCAGCCAACAUGUGGUGAGCAAUGAUAUCUUUCUUCCUAAGCUGGGGCACAGGUGAAAAUGGUGAUUUAGGCCAGGACAUGCAUAUGUGUAUUUUGCUCACUCUGAGAAGAACUCCCCAAAUGGCUGCUCCAAUUAAUAGCUGGUAAC